This 74-nucleotide transfer RNA is filed under the name Mus musculus (house mouse). RNAcentral describes it as "tRNA-Ala". Lineage: Eukaryota; Metazoa; Chordata; Mammalia; Rodentia; Muridae. The record is from RNAcentral.
GGGAUGUAGCUCAGUGGUAGAGAACCUUGUCUAGCACACAUGGGGGUCCUGGGUUAGAUCUCUAGCACCACCCA